GCGUUUUUGAGUGACUGGGCGACGCUGGAUCCUCUCAACGGCUGCCAUCGAACAGCAGAAGAUAAGUUUGAAACUGUCGCUGGCGUCACCAUGGCCCGGCACACACCAAGCCAACAGCCGGCUGUUGAGCAACGUCUGCCCGUCGGUCAGGCAGAGUCUGUGUAUGUGGACACUCACUAUUUGACCCUUUCUUCAGUUUCUCUUGUCUGUCCUCCACAAGCAGAGACUCACUGAUAGACAGCUGUUACCCAUUCUAGGCCUAACACAUCCAAACACGACCACACCGCAAGUGUAUCCUUUACAGAUCAAGGAGGAGUUCAGACGCAUCACAAUGGUUUCCUUGGAGGAGACAUUCCUGCGGAAGCUUGAUGAGUACACACCUGGUCUUUUGCGGCUAAUGCGUGCCAAAGGAGGAGCAGCUGGUUGCAAGAUGCGUCCUCUGCUGGACAGUUUAAAUACACAGAACAUUGAGGAAAAAAGAGAUGCUGUUGUCUGCUGCCUCAUUAACUACCUCGGUGAAAGACAAGAAGAUCUUUUCCAUGAAUGGCAGGAAUGUGAGGAGUACACAGACAAAACAAUGAAGGUGAUUGUGAAGCACAAUGUCAUGGCUGAGGAGGACGAUUUGUCUAUUGUGAUCGAGGGAAACCAAGUGAUGGAAGGAUGUGGAAGCCGAACAAAGGCAUGCAUACUGCUGAUGGGACUCAUAUAUGCAAUCAACAUUGAAUAUCCAAAGGAGCUGAAGAACACAUUUGA
RNAcentral lists this long non-coding RNA (753 nucleotides) under Danio rerio (zebrafish). Its description in RNAcentral is "lncRNA si:dkey-241l7.10 (ENSDARG00000086925.5)". Lineage: Eukaryota; Metazoa; Chordata; Actinopteri; Cypriniformes; Danionidae. The record is from RNAcentral.